This is a long non-coding RNA of Ficedula albicollis (Collared flycatcher), 2339 nucleotides long. The record is from Ensembl. Lineage: Eukaryota; Metazoa; Chordata; Aves; Passeriformes; Muscicapidae.
AAUGACCUAAUGGGUCUUUUUUUCCAUCUCCACUGUUCACUUCUAUUAUUGUAGGCAAAACCAGAUUUGGCAAUAAAAUUAUGGAUUUCCAAUUGUCACUGCAAUGUUGCAGCACUCUUAUUCCAUAAUAAUAGCAGUAUUUGCCCACUUUUCAUUUCCCUCUAUAAACUUUUGUGUCUUAUUUUUCCUUCAAAGAGGGCUAUUUUGUAGCCCUCUGACUAAAAACAGCAGUCAGACAGCCUAAUAAUACUGCUUGUAGGUAUAGGAUAAAUAUUUGGGCCUUGUGCCUCCUAAUUUUCAUCAAGAACUCUUCAGUCAGACCUCAAGUCCAGGGUAACAGUACUGGGCAAAAUGUCACUGCUUGUAUCUAUGGGUCAUCCUGUGAAAUAAGGGGAUGCAUGUACAGCCAAGUGUUGGGCUUUUGUUGAUUUCCACAAACAUAAAUUAUGAAGGCAUGGCAUGCAGCACAUCUUUGUGAUUAGUAGAUAGGGCUCCUUAUAUGAUUUCAACACUUUUCUUCUUUCCAUUGAAACCAGUCUUUGACCUGGAGUGUUUUCACACUUCCUAAGAGGUGCAGGCAAAGGUGAUUCUUGCUCUUCUGUUCAGGCAUCUCCAGUACCCAUCAAUGCCCUGCAUCCCUUCCCUUGUUCUCAGAAACCCUACAUAGACUUAUAAAGUGAAGAGGCUCAAACAAAUGAUAACUCACCAAAAAUAACAGGUAAGAAAUGGUGCAAGGACAGCAGCAAUUGCACGUGGUGCUUUAUGGGCUUGCUUCUCAGCAGCUGUUUUUUUCUUUUUUUUCAGAUGGUAGUGCCAAGAAUUUUGAUAGUUAAUACUGAUGUCAAAACUGAAGUAAUGCUGCAAUGAGUCAGGCCCUGCUUCUUCGAAAUGCUGUGUAAAUAUUUGCCAGUUACUUUUCCCAGCAGCCAGCAAGCUAUGCAGUCUUGUUGCUGCUUUUUCAGAAGACAGAUUGGUGGAGGUGAAAUCCAGGAAGACCUGAGUGUUAUGUUACAGUCAUACAGCAAGGAUGGACAAAGGGCAUUGAAGCCCGUACUUCAUAAUCAGCCCCAGAUAAACCUAUCAAGUACUGGAUCUACCUUCUGAGUUGAUGGUACUGAACUGCAGUGUAAGAACUAAAAACCCAAAGCAUUUUAUUGCAUGAAAUCAUAAGAAAGAAAACCGUAUCACAGCUGAGUACAGUGAUAAUUUCUUCUGCCUUAUUUUACACUAAAAGUAAAUAUCAUACAUGAUUGACACAGAUCUACUUGCAUGCAGAGGUAAGAAGACACAGCACAUGAAGGUGGUUUCCAUCCCCAUGCUCAGAUAGCCCAUGUACUUUGUUCCUGCAGUGGGGAAGGUGAGCUGUCACACAUCUCAGUAAGCUUCAGAUACCUCACAGUCCGUGAGCUGAACACACCCCCACAGGACUUCUGGAGCUUCAGUCUUGCUGCCAGGCUGCCCACAGCCCUCCCUCAGCAGCUGGCUGCGUUAGCUGUUCCCAGCAGCGUGGUGGGACCAGUCCUGCAAGCACAGGGAGGGUGAGCGCUGGGGCGGUGCUGCGGCGGGCCAGCAGGAUGCUGCUCUCAUCAUGUGGCCUGUCCUUGUCAAACCAGUUGUGCCACUGGCAUUGCUACCACUCUUCCUCUUAUCCUGGUUUGCUACUUUCUCCACUCUUCAAAUAGUUACCCUUUGUUGGCCUUAUUGAGCCUUCCCAUCUUUCUUCUGCUCCCAGCUUUGCCAUUAAUGUCUUUCAUAACAAACACAGACAGAGAAACAAACCUGUCAUUUAUUUUUGUGCCCAUAUACCUUGUUGCCCAUCCUCUUAAGUGCAUUCUUUCAAUGAAAUUUAAUUUAGCAGCUGCAGCUGUACUCAUUGCUUAAAAUAAAUAUAUUAAGAGGUGUAGAAAAUGGUCAGGUAUUCAAGGAAAGUGCUUGCACUUAUGCUUGCUGCUGACAUUUGCAGUGCUCUUUAAGAGGCCUGAGCUGUUGCCAUAUGUUUCUGCAGGAUAAAAUGACUUAAGAUUCUAUUUUGGUCUCUAAUUUCUAUCAUUAAAUGAACAUCUCUGGUAACACUGAGAUGGAACUUCAAGUUUCCAAUGCAUUUUCCAAAAGGAAUAGGAGAUAACCCAAGUGUCUAGUGUUAGAGUCACAGCAUCAGGACUGGAGAUGAGCCAACACUAAAGUCUGUGUGGCAGCUGUCUCUACCUAAGCAAGUUGACUUAAUGCUCAGUGAGCUGAAGUUUAAGAACAACUUUCCAUGGAACUAUUGAGAUGCUUUAAGAAAGGCACAUAACUAGAAGUUAGCAAGCUUUUUCCCCCCCCCCCCCCCCCCCCCCCCC